CCUACGGGGGGCAGCAGUGGGGAAUAUUGCACAAUGGGGGAAACCCUGAUGCAGCGAUGCCGCGUAAAAGAAGAAGGUCUUAGGAUUGUAAAUUUUUGUCCUUGUUGAAGAAGAAGUGACGGUAGACAAGGAGGAAGCCCCGGCUAACUACGUGCCAGCAGCCGCGGUAAUACGUAGGGGGCAAGCGUUAUCCGGAAUUAUUGGGCGUAAAGGGUGAGUAGGCGGUUAUAUAAGCUAGAGGUGAAAGGCAGUGGCUCAACCAUUGUAAGCCUUUAGAACUGUAUGACUUGAGUGCAGGAGAGGAAAGUGGAAUUCCUAGUGUAGCGGUGAAAUGCGUAGAUAUUAGGAGGAACACCGGUGGCGAAGGCGACUUUCUGGACUGUAACUGACGCUGAUGCACGAAAGCGUGGGUAGCGAACAGGAUUAGAUACCCUGGUAGUCCACGCCGUAAACGAUGAGUGCUAGGUGUCUGCGUGAAAGCGUAGGUGCCGGAGUUAACGCAAUAAGCACUCCGCCUGGGGAGUACGCACGCAAGUGUAAAACUCAAAGGAAUUGACGGGGACCCGCACAAGCAGCGGAGCAUGUGGUUUAAUUCGAAGCAACGCGAAGAACCUUACCAGGACUUGACAUACCAUUGACAGACGCAUAAAAGUGUCCUCCCUUCGGGGUAAUGGAUACAGGUGGUGCAUGGUUGUCGUCAGCUCGUGUCGUGAGAUGUUGGGUUAAGUCCCGCAACGAGCGCAACCCUUAUGUUCAGUUACCAGCAUUUAGGAUGGGGACUCUGGACAGACUGCCGUUAAUAAGGCGGAGGAAGGUGGGGAUGACGUCAAAUCAUCAUGCCCCUUAUGUUCUGGGCUACACACGUGCUACAAUGGGAAGUACAAAGGGAGGCGAAGCCGUAAGGUGGAGCGAACCCCAAAAAGCUUUUCUCAGUUCGGAUUGUGGGCUGAAACUCGCCCGCAUGAAGUUGGAGUUGCUAGUAAUCGCAAAUCAGAAUGUUGCGGUGAAUACGUUCCCGGGUCUUGUACACACCGCCCGUC
This 1040-nucleotide ribosomal RNA is filed under the name uncultured Bacillota bacterium. RNAcentral's name for it is "bacterial SSU rRNA". It matches the Rfam family "Bacterial small subunit ribosomal RNA", at positions 338 to 1398 of the family's 1533-position model. Lineage: Bacteria; Bacillati; Bacillota. The record is from RNAcentral.